CCAGGCACGUCCGGUUCUGCGGCCCCCACUCCGCCCCCGCCUGCCGGGAGCCGCGCAGUUACAAAGUGCCGGGAGCCGUGCAGGGCCAGUGAACCCCUCGCUGAGACUCAGUUUGCUGCCAUCACAAGUGCUCUGAGAAUCCUGGAGAGGGAGGAUAUUGGAGACAAACGGGACUGCUGCCCGCCUUUUAGGCGACCGUUGGAGGCUGCUCUGUGCCGGACACAGGCAGGGAAAAUGUCAGCCCCGCGAGGGAAAUGGCAAAGGGAAGAUGACAGCAGACGAGAGAAACAACAGCCCCACCUGACACAGCCAGGACCCUGCGGAGAGGCGGCAGGAGCCCCCACUUCCUCGGGACUCAGCCUCUGCACCCCGGGACUGCCCAUGGCCCCUCUGAGGGCUCUCCUCACUCCUUCCUCCCUCAUUAGGGAAGAGGCCAGUACCCAGCAGCCAUGGCCCAAGCGCAGGUGGUCUGUUCUGUGCACCCAGCAUCCCCCUAGGGUCUAAACCAGCUCCCACAGCUCAGAAGUCAGCGGAGCAGAGUCCCCAGGAAACCAGGGUCAGGGAUGGAGGCUGCUGAGGAGCGGGUCUGGGAGGUGGAGGCCAGAUACAAGAAAACCACAGUACCAGUAAAUGACAAAGGCUGGAUCUUAACCCAAGUCCUCCGACUCUGAAGGCCAUACCCAACAGGUCCCAUUUUAUUUGUUUUACUUUUUUUUAAUUGAAGAAAAAAAAACUAGCAUUCCCCUACAGUGCCCCCCACCUGGUGGGGACAUCUUGGGUUGGCAAGGCCACCACUUUCAAGAGUAGAAGUGUUUUUCAGCAGGAGGAGUUGGCUGCACCAAAGGAGCUCAGGAGAAGCUGGAGUCUCAGGCCCAGCAGGAACAGCCAGAGGUUUUGCAGCUUUGCCCAGCGGCUGGGUUCGCCGAAGGGUCUCCCUGGGGGUUCCCAGCAUGAGCCGAAGCCACCCUCCCCUGUGGGAUCUGUGAGGCCAGGCAUUGGGCCUCUUUAGGCCUCAGUUUCCUCCCCUGUCAUAGGCAACUGACAGUCCCUCUGGAGCGCCACUGGGGCUGCAGAGGGAGGCCGGAGAGAUGGUGCCCCCCCUCCUCCCCGCCACCCCCACACACAGCCCUCAGCAGGAUGGUGGCUGCCUGGCCGAUUGCUUUUGCAUUUGCAGCAGAGCGGGGGAGUGAGGCCAAGCUGAGUGCCCCCUCCCCCUGCCCAGCCAGCUCAGACCCAGGCGGUGGAGCAGGAAGGCUCUGGGGAAAACAGUGUGAGUCACCGGGCGGCCAGAGUGUGUCCUUCCCUGCUAGCGCACUACACGGCAGGUUUCAUAGCUUGACAGCAAAGUGUUUGAAAACGAAGAGCAGGAAUUCCGCGGUUCCUGCCCGGCCUCGCCAUCCAGCUG
This 1405-nucleotide long non-coding RNA is filed under the name Homo sapiens (human). RNAcentral's name for it is "HSALNT0379309". The record is from RNAcentral. Lineage: Eukaryota; Metazoa; Chordata; Mammalia; Primates; Hominidae.